AAGACCUGGGCAAGCCUGACCUGCAGAGGCAAGAAAGGGAUAAAAUAUACAAACAUGAGGCAAUUUAUGAGCGAGCAUGCUAAGGAAAAGCCAGUGAUUAGUUCCAAAUUGGCAAGAUAGAAGGCAUUAACAACAAGAUGGAACGAUUGAAGUAAUUACAGAUAGCUCAAAUUUACAGUGUCCUUUGUAAACAAUUUCUGAGAGCCUUAACUGUAAGAUAGUUUCUUUGUGACCAGAAGGUUAUGGGUUCUACUAUAGCAGGGAAAAGGCCACAUGGGAGAACCUCACAGAACCUCGCAAACCCAGUAGCCUCCUGCACUCCUAAGGCCUUAAAAGUAAGUAUAGAUAACCAAUGAGUGGUGCUAGAGUCUCCUCCAGAACUUUGAGAUUUCAAGUUUCAAUCUUAGUCGGAACCCAAUUAACG
This 424-nucleotide unclassified non-coding RNA is filed under the name Hevea brasiliensis (rubber tree). Lineage: Eukaryota; Viridiplantae; Streptophyta; Magnoliopsida; Malpighiales; Euphorbiaceae. The record is from RNAcentral.